AACUUUUGGCUAUGGAUCACUUGGUUCCGGCAUCGAUGAAGAACGCAGCGAAAUGCGAUACGUAAUGUGAAUUGCAAAUUCAGUGAAUCAUCGAGUCUUUGAACGCACAUUGCGCCCCCUGGUAUUCCGGGGGGCAUGCCUGUCCGAGCGUCAUUGCUGCCCUCAAGCACGGCUUGUGUGUUGGGCCCCGUCCUCCGAUUCCGGGGGACGGGCCCGAAAGGCAGCGGCGGCACCGCGUCCGGUCCUCGAGCGUAUGGGGCUUUGUCACCCGCUCCGUAGGCCCGGCCGGCGCUUGCCGAUCAACCCAAAUUUUUAUCCAGGUUGACCUCGCAUCAGGUAGGGAUACCAGCUGCCCUUAAGAAUAUCAAUAAGCGGAGGCU
RNAcentral lists this unclassified non-coding RNA (380 nucleotides) under uncultured Penicillium. Its description in RNAcentral is "sequence contains ITS2". The stretch from base 1 to 153 matches the Rfam family "5.8S ribosomal RNA". Lineage: Eukaryota; Fungi; Ascomycota; Eurotiomycetes; Eurotiales; Aspergillaceae. The record is from RNAcentral.